Molecule: long non-coding RNA, 625 nt
Filed under: Ananas comosus (pineapple)
Lineage: Eukaryota; Viridiplantae; Streptophyta; Magnoliopsida; Poales; Bromeliaceae
Description: long non-coding RNA (ACOM_LNC032628)
Source: RNAcentral
CCCUGCCCGAAAGUUUUCGUGCAAAACGAAGUGCCGAAUGCUUCUAAAAAGCAAGAACAUCACAACAUAAAAUGCCCUCUCAGUGAUAAAAUAUGUUUUUCUCAAAAACGUGCGUCGAACAUAAAAUCCGUCAAUGUCAUCGGCUCCGAAACAAUCGGACCAUCGAAAAUGAGCUAUUAGAUCAUCCAGAAUAGAGUCCGAUUAGCGUCCAAAACCCACCUCUCUCCUCGGUCAUCCCCGGAAACGCGGGUUACUAUUAACUUUAGGUGAAAAGUAAUAAUCGCGUAAAAAUUUUAUUUUAAAUCUUUUUUUGUUGAGAUUUGACGAGUAAGCCUAAAAUUAAAGACGGUGAAUAAUUCACCGUCUUAUCUGUGUUACAGCACUGCCUCCACAACUUAGACGAUUUAGACAAAUUGUGGUGGGUUGCGGGGGUUUUGCAUUAAAGACGGUGAAUUAUUUAUCGCCUUCAUAACAUAUGUUACAAAGGCGGUGAAAUCAGUCACUGCCUUACUAAAGACGGUGAACAAUUCAUCGUCUUCAUAAGAAAACUCUGACGUGGUGCCUACGCGGUGAAAGAAUGAUUAAUUUUUAAAAUAAAAUUUUAAGAGGCUCAUUUUUCAAAUUG